Molecule: ribosomal RNA, 253 nt
Filed under: uncultured bacterium
Lineage: Bacteria
Description: partial 16S ribosomal RNA
Rfam family: Bacterial small subunit ribosomal RNA
Source: RNAcentral
UACGGAGGGAGCUAGCGUUAUUCGGAAUUACUGGGCGUAAAGCGCACGUAGGCGGCUUUGUAAGUAAGAGGUGAAAGCCCAGAGCUCAACUCUGGAAUUGCCUUUUAGACUGCAUCGCUUGAAUCAUGGAGAGGUCAGUGGAAUUCCGAGUGUAGAGGUGAAAUUCGUAGAUAUUCGGAAGAACACCAGUGGCGAAGGCGGCUCACUGGCUCAUUACUGACGCUCAGGCACGACAGCGUGGGGAUCAAACAGG